Molecule: ribosomal RNA, 595 nt
Filed under: Pseudocryptochirus viridis
Lineage: Eukaryota; Metazoa; Arthropoda; Malacostraca; Decapoda; Cryptochiridae
Description: partial 16S ribosomal RNA
Rfam family: Bacterial large subunit ribosomal RNA
Source: RNAcentral
CAUGUCUGUUUGUAGUUAUAAAAAGUCCAAUCUGCCCACUGAUAAGUUUAUUAAAGGGCCGCAGUAUCUUAACUGUGCAAAGGUAGCAUAAUAAUUAGUUCUUUAAUUGAGAUCUUGUAUGAAUGAUUAGACAAAAGACUAACUGUCUCCAUAAUAAAAUUUGAAAUUAACUUUUAAGUAAAAAGGCUUAAAUAAUUUGAAGUGACGAUAAGACCCUAUAAAGCUUUAUAUUAUACAGAAAUUAAAAUAAAGUAAUAAUAAAAUUUUAAUAGUUGUAAGUAUUUUAUUGGGGUGAUAAAAGUAAAAUUUUUAAUAACUGCUUUUUUUAAAAACAAAUUUUUAUGGUUUAUAAGUUAAAUGAUCCUAUAAUUUAGAUUUAAAGGUUAAGUUACUUUAGGGAUAACAGCGUUAUUUUUUUUAAGAGUUCUUAUCGAAAAAAAAAGAUUGCGACCUCGAUGUUGAAUUAAAAUAUCUGUGUAAUUGCAGAAGUUACAUAAGAAGGUCUGUUCGACCUUUAAAUUUUUACAUGAUUUGAGUUCAGACCGGUUUAAACCAGGUCGGUUUCUAUCUUUAAAUACGAUUUUAAAUUAUUUUA